This 24-nucleotide non-coding RNA is filed under the name Mus musculus (house mouse). The record is from RNAcentral. Lineage: Eukaryota; Metazoa; Chordata; Mammalia; Rodentia; Muridae.
UCUGAGCCGAUGUUGAACCAGCUG